GCCGGGUGUGGUGGCUCACACCUGUAAUUCCAGCAGCUCGGGAGGAGGCUGAGGCAGGAGGAUCGAGAGUUCAAAGCCAGCCUCAGCAACUUAGUGAGCCCUAAGCAACUCAGUGAGACCCUGUCUCUG
RNAcentral lists this small RNA (129 nucleotides) under Marmota monax (woodchuck). The record is from RNAcentral. Lineage: Eukaryota; Metazoa; Chordata; Mammalia; Rodentia; Sciuridae.